CCUACGGGAGGCAGCAGUGAGGAAUAUUGGUCAAUGGACGAGAGUCUGAACCAGCCAAGUAGCGUGAAGGAUGACUGCCCUAUGGGUUGUAAACUUCUUUUAUAUGGGAGUAAAAUGUUCCACGUGUGGGAUUUUGUAUGUACCAUAUGAAUAAGGAUCGGCUAACUCCGUGCCAGCAGCCGCGGUAAUACGGAGGAUCCGAGCGUUAUCCGGAUUUAUUGGGUUUAAAGGGGGCGUAGGUGGAUUGUUAAGUCAGUUGUGAAAGUUUGCGGCUCAACCGUAAGAUUGCAGUUGAAACUGGCAGUCUGGAGUACAGGAGAGGUAGGCGGAAUUCGUGGUGUAGCGGUGAAAUGCUUAGAUAUCACGAAGAACUCCGAUUGCGAAGGCAGUUCACUGGACUGCAACUGACGCUGAGGCUCGAAAGUGUGGGUAUCAAACAGGAUUAGAUACCCCAGUAGUC
RNAcentral lists this ribosomal RNA (460 nucleotides) under uncultured bacterium. RNAcentral's name for it is "partial 16S ribosomal RNA". It matches the Rfam family "Bacterial small subunit ribosomal RNA", at positions 338 to 795 of the family's 1533-position model. The record is from RNAcentral.